UCAACCGUGAAACUGCCAUUGAUACUGCAGGUCUUGAAUAUAGUUGAGGUAGGCGGAAUACGAUAUGUAGCGGUGAAAUGCAUAGAUAUAUCGUAGAACACCGAUUGCGAAGGCAGCUUACUAAGCUAUUAUUGACGCUGAUGGACGAAAGCGUGGGGAGCGAACAGGAUUAGAUACCCUGGUAGUCCACGCCGUAAACGAUGAUUACUCGUUGUGCGCGAUACACAGUGCGCGACUGAGCGAAAGCAUUAAGUAAUCCACCUGGGGAGUACGUUCGCAAGAAUGAAACUCAAAGGAAUUGACGGGGGCCCGCACAAGCGGAGGAACAUGUGGUUUAAUUCGAUGAUACGCGAGGAACCUUACCUGGGCUUAAAUGCAGUUUGACCGACCUGGAAACGGGUCUUCUCUUCGGAGCAAAUUACAAGGUGCUGCAUGGUUGUCGUCAGCUCGUGCCGUGAGGUGUCGGGUUAAGUCCCAUAACGAGCGCAACCCCUAUCGUUAGUUGCUAGCAGGUAAUGCUGAGGACUCUAGCGAGACUGCCACCGUAAGGUGAGAGGAAGGUGGGGAUGACGUCAAAUCAGCACGGCCCUUACGUCCAGGGCUACACACGUGUUACAAUGGCCGAUACAAAGGGCAGCUACCUGGUGACAGGAUGCUAAUCUCAAAAGUCGGUCUCAGUUCGGAUCGGAGUCUGCAACUCGACUCCGUGAAGUUGGAUUCGCUAGUAAUCGUAUAUCAGCAAUGAUACGGUGAAUACGUUCCCGGGCCUUGUACACACCGCCCGUCAAGCCAUGGAAGCCGAGGGGACCUGAAGUUCGUAACCGCAAGGAGCGACCUAGGGUAAAAUUGGUAACUGGGGCUAAGUCGUAACAAGGUACCCG
This 881-nucleotide ribosomal RNA is filed under the name uncultured bacterium. RNAcentral's name for it is "bacterial SSU rRNA". It matches the Rfam family "Bacterial small subunit ribosomal RNA", at positions 609 to 1502 of the family's 1533-position model. The record is from RNAcentral.